Molecule: long non-coding RNA, 2837 nt
Filed under: Ananas comosus (pineapple)
Lineage: Eukaryota; Viridiplantae; Streptophyta; Magnoliopsida; Poales; Bromeliaceae
Description: long non-coding RNA (ACOM_LNC027215)
Source: RNAcentral
GUAGUUCUUAUCACCGUGCUAUUUUUGAGGGGACGGCUGAGAGUUAAAAUCAUGGGGUGGAUCUGCGCCUCCUUUGCCACCGCCGUCUUCAUAGCACCUCUGAGUAUCAUCGUAAGAACCUGCCGUUCGUCUAACCAUAUUUGUUCACUACAAGAGCAGCAAUUUUUUAAAAAAAUGAGCUUUAUAAAAUGGAGGGCAAGUUGAAUUAUCAUCUAAGACAAUGAGAGAAAUAAUUGAGAUCUUCUUAACUAGCAAACUAAACACAUGACAACAUGGAAAAGAGAAAUAACUCUAGAUUCAAGAAGAUUGAUAACAAUACAGACAAAUUAAUAUGCUACUGUGUUGCAGAGACAAGUGAUACGAACCAAAAGCGUCGAAUUCAUGCCGUUUACUCUGUCGUUAUUCCUCACUCUCAGUGCGGUCGCAUGGUUCUGCUACGGCCUCAUGCUGAAAGAUAGCUACAUCGCAGUAAGUUUCCAUAUAUAUGUAUAUUUAGGGUGUCACAGAAUACUUGUUAUAUCCUAUCAUUUAAGAAUUAUUUAUUUUUUAGUUUUUAGUAAAAAAAAAAAAAAAAAAAAAUUGAUACUAUCAUUAGAUUACGCAAUUUUUAUCUUGGCUAGUAGCUAACCAACAUGAUUCAAAUGUGAUUGAAUCAGCUUCCGAAUGUGGUCGGUGUCUUAUUCGGUUUGGCCCAGAUGCUUCUCUAUUUCAUCUACAUGAACGGAAAGAAGGAAACACCAGUAUCAGAAAUUACCGACCAGGACAAGAACCCCGCAACACUAGCAAACCCGAAUGCCGAUAUAGAGAUGAACAAGGAGAGCAUCGGAGUUACGACUCCGGAAGUCGAGAGUUCGAUGUCCGUGGCCGGAAAGAACGAGGCAUAGAGCUACCAAACUAACCUCCUCCUCCACCGCAAACUGACUGACAUUGCAGGAUGUUUUAAGCAGCAUAAGUUUUUUCUUUUUCUUUUUUUUUCCUUUUUAUGUUUCAUUAAGUGCCUUCUAGCUGUGUUCUUGUGUCAGUGACAAGUAGUGAAAAUAAGUAACUCCGUAGAACUCCUGCAUGUCUAGAGCACAAAUAAGGAAUGUAAUUUGUAUCCGCAUGAUAUUUGUGAGCAAUUUAAAUCAGAAUUCUAUACAUUCGGAGAUGCAUGCGAUAUAUGGAGAAAGAUCGAUAUGCAGAUUUUCAACUCACAUCUUAAUCUAGAAUGAAAAAAAGGGGUUUCGCAUAAAUUCUGAUUCUGGCAAAUUCGAUUUUGAUUCCAAACUCAAGAAAACAAGGAACAAAACAGCUUGCAUUUUUAUUAUGAUUCCAAAUAAUCGGACUCUAAUUGACGAGAACACGACUUAAAUUUACUACAAUAAGUUGCUGCUGCCCCUACGCGCGCUGAUACUGAUACCGAAUGAAUCUGGCAAUUAAACAGAAGCAAAAUUUUGACCUGAACAACAAGUAAUUCCAUAGAAGAUAAAAUAAAGUGCACAUUACAAAUGCUGUUUUGUCCUUGCCAACCUCUUUAAACUAAACAAACUACACUAAUUAAUCUUGCACAGACGAAAUUAAUCAGUAAACUUUGUACUAUAGGAAUUACUGAACAAAUCAUGAGAAUCCUAAUUCGAUUAAAUUGCGACACCCCAAUUUUUCUUGAUAAGAAUCAUUCCAUAUGCCAUUCAUGUUUUUCGUUACGUAGUUUUAGUCGAUUAAAUUGAAAAUUUGGUAAAAUUAAUCGACAAUUCGCUCUAAUUUCACAAUUCUGAAUAUUUUGAACGCAAGGAAAUGCCGAAAAGGACAAGUAACUAAAAAACACUAAUUCAAUUGACCAAGUAACUCACAUCAAAACAUAUAUAAGUUGAGGAAGUGCAAAAACAAUAAUAAUAAUAAUAAUAAUAAUAAUAAUAAUAAAGUUUAGAAGCCUAUUUCAAAACCGUGCAUAGUUGAGGGGUCUACAUUCAUUUUUAGCUAAAUAUUUAUAUUAGUUGCUUGCACUGUAGACGGUUCUGAUUCGACUAUCUAAGCUUUAAAAACUUGAUUUUAGCACCCAACAUUUUAAUUUAUUGGAUUUACGUCAUUUGAGGACUCUUAUGAUGCAAAAUUUAAGCUGAUUAUUUAUUUUCAUAAAUUUAUAGUUGAUAAAUUGCAUAAAAUAUGCUGAUUAAGCCUGUAAAGAUAAACGACGCAUUCAAUUUUUGAAGUUAAAAUGUUAUGAACAAAAUUCAACAAAAUUCUCAACUAAAGCAAGCAGAAUUAAAUUACUCAAUUCGAGAAAAUCCAAAAGUUGAAGGUACAUCAAUCAAAAAAUUCAAAGUUGUGGGACCAAUUUCAGAAUAGCAUAAAACUCUUUCCCAUUCGAGAAAGAGAAACCCUAGAGGAGGGAGAACACAUCGAGCGAUCUCAAAGUCCAACAAAAAAUUUAAAAAAUAAAAUAAAAUAAACAUUCACGAUCAAGAGCAAUCAAAGGAAAGAAACAACCAAUCGGAUCCAAACAAAUUACUGGACCAAAAAAAAAAAUGCAAUUGAAAAAAUUAAAAUAAAAAAGAUGAGGAAUUGUACGGACGAACCAUGUGAUCCACGUGGAGAAGAGAUCUGAGGAUAUUUUUAGCAAUAAUAAUAAAUAAAUAUUAAAUUAAAAUUAAGCAAUCGCUUGCUUAGAGAAGAGGAAAAAGAAAAAAAAAAAUUUGAAAGAGAGAGAGAGAGAGAGACAGGGGAUGUGGGGGAAAGCGAUUUUGUAUCACACACGCGAGAUGGUAAAAAUGAUGUCGAACCCCUCAACUAUCCCUUCUUCUGAAACCGCCCUUUUUCCUUUUAUUUUGUUUGAGUGGCUAAAAUUGCACUCCUGGUCC